Molecule: ribosomal RNA, 426 nt
Filed under: uncultured bacterium
Lineage: Bacteria
Description: partial 16S ribosomal RNA
Rfam family: Bacterial small subunit ribosomal RNA
Source: RNAcentral
GUGAGGAAUUUUCCGCAAUGGGCGAAAGCCUGACGGAGCAAUGCCGCGUGAAGGAUGCAGGCCUAUGGGUUGUAAACUUCUUUUCUCAGAAAAGAAUUAUGACGGUAUCUGAGGAAUAAGCAUCGGCUAACUCUGUGCCAGCAGCCGCGGUAAGACAGAGGAUGCAAGCGUUAUCCGGAAUGAUUGGGCGUAAAGCGUCUGUAGGUUGUUUAAAAAGUAUUCUGUCAAAGAUUAGGGCUUAACCCUAGAUAGGCAGAAUAAACUUUUAAGCUAGAGUUUGGUAGAGGCAGAGGGAAUUCCCGGUGGAGCGGUGAAAUGCGUAGAUAUCGGGAGGAACACCAAAGGCGAAGGCACUCUGCUGGGCCAAUACUAACACUGAGAGACGAAAGCGAGGGGAGCAAAUGGGAUUAGAAACCCGAGUAGUCC